UGCGUGAUCUCACCAUUCAUUUCACGCUGUACUUUUGCUCCCUGCCCAGCGAGUUUGGAGACGGUACGUUGCUCCCCUUUCCAACAAUAAGAUCUUAUCACAGGCAGCUGGCCCACGUUCUGCACUUUCAUUUUUAUUGUGUGGGUUCUGAAACUCUGAUGCAAAUAGUCUGCCGAACAUCCUCCCUCCACUGCAUGUGGUUUUUUUUUUUUUUUUCCUCUUCAACCUCCUUGCAUGCAGUGUGCUCCAGCGUCAUGCUGGCUCCAGCCAGCUCCCAUUGUUCACAUUGUUGUUUUUGUGUCAAGGGCGUGAGAGGAAUUUUUUCUUUUUUCUUUUUCUUUUUUUUUUUUUUUAUUUUUAUUUUUGCCAGGACAGCAAUUUAAAGCUAAGGCCUUGAAAAUACACUUGCCAUUUGCAGGAAAAUAGCUACUGGACUCACCACAAGGCCAAAGAUGAGGGGAAGACCCAAGUGGUUAAAAUACAAUAACAUAAAUUAAAGAAGGACUGAAGAAAGAAGCCAUUUGCAGAAUAGGAUGAAGACACCAAAAAUUGAAUAUUCUCUGCAAUGGCCUACAUAGAAGAGGAACUGCCACAGCAGAUUAGAUGAGUGGUCCGCUGGGGCUGCCGUGCCAGCAGCACGGUGGUUAUCUCUAAAAGCGUGAGAGAAAUGAUGCGUGUGACUGGGAGUGACAAACGGGACAAGGUCUCUGCCCUUCACAAUAAAUCUAGCCUUGACAUCUAAUUGAAUAUUUCUGCCCAGGAACUCAGAGGUCACUUGAUCCUGAAGCCAAUGAUAAAAUUCAUCUUCAAAAGAGGAGUGGAAAUAAAAUUAGAAGAAAAAAAGUCCUUCUGGAGAGCAUCCUCCUGACAGCCUGUCCCACUGAAUUUGAUAGGAAUACUCCUGGAAAUUAAGCAAGCCUGGUUUAUCCUUCAAUUACAUUCAAUGCUGACAUUUAUUAAUUCCCAAGCAUAACAACAAUUCUGUUGCGUGUUUUUACAUAAUAUACAUGCACUCACACUGCUAAGUUCUUCACAGUUGGAAAAUAGAUUCAGAGCUCAAACGGGUAAAAGAGGCAACAGUCACAAGUAAAUCCCAAGGGAGAAAUAAAAGGACUUAAUAGCAGGCUAUUAUUAAACUCUAUUUGAUAUAUUAAAAAAUCACAAGGAAGCCUGUCAAAAAAAUUACCAUGAUCAAAUAAAUUACAAGGCAAAGCUGCCAGUCAUGUCUUGUGAACUGGUACAGCAGAGACACGAUGGGAAAUAAAAUACCCGGAGCUCAGAACAAAACGAGGCUUGCGCUGUCAAACGGCCUGUCCUGUCUGCAGCCUCCCUGCCUCCAGGCAGCUACCUCCUGCUGCCACCUCUGCACCUUGGCCUUCGCUCCCGGCUGGCCAGGGAGAAGCUGAGAGUGCUGUGCAGUCUGCACCGGGGCUAAAAGCCCCACUCCCACUUUGUUCCACCUCCUCCCCAGCAAAACCAUUCUUCUCCUCGAAGCUCCUCGUUAUCUCCUGCCUACACACUCGCUGCAUUCGCAUGUACUUUGCCACUUUGCAAAGUGCUCUUGGGAUUACUUAGGUACUGCAGAAACCCAAAGUUGCUCUGCUUUACAGCACCGCAAUCCUGGCUUCAUAAACCUCAACCUCGCACAAUGGAGAACUGCUGGAAAAUUAACUUCAAAAUGUUCCCUUCUGAGUGCGUGACGCCAAAACUCUGCACAGUGCAUCGCAACAAGGGUUUCUGCAGAGAAGAAGCCACCCAGUGAAGCACCUAAGGGACAGGCAGCAGAAAAGCUGAGGCUGGACAUGCAGCCUCAUCUCUCUCCUUCAUGCCCAUUCACAGCAGGAACUCCUGGGCAGAGCAGUAUAGCCUGAGCUAUAAGAGGCACUUCUCUUUCUGCAGCUGUCCAUCCACGAAUUUCCCAGAGACACAUGACUGAGUUUAAAGCAGUAAGUGUUGUAGCCUAAUGAUCUUACAGUGUAACAGAGGAAAGGUUGGAGCAAGAAGCAAGAUUUGUCCGGGUCAGCUGACAAUGCUAGAGAAAAUGGAAAGGCAUUUGGGCACGGGAGGCCUCUUUCAGAUUUUAGGAAGACAAAGGCUAUAUACUAUGGGAAUUUGAGAGUUAAGAUUUAUUUAUUUAUUUAUUUAGCUUAAACCUGUAAUAUCAAUAUAGUCUCAGGUAAUUUUUCCCCCUCAUUGCAUUUACUAGACAUUUGUUUGCCUGAUCUUUUUCCCAAGUUGCAAGCAGCAAGCUGAGCAUCUGA
Non-coding RNA from Anas platyrhynchos (mallard), 2261 nucleotides. The record is from RefSeq and is a predicted model, not a curated record. NCBI's taxonomy places the organism in Eukaryota, Metazoa, Chordata, Aves, Anseriformes, Anatidae.